ACGCUGGCGGCAUGCCUAACACAUGCAAGUCGAACGGAGAUUAUUUCGGUAAUCUUAGUGGCGAACGGGUGAGUAACGCGUAGGCAACCUGCCCUUUAGUUGGGGACAACAUCCCGAAAGGGGUGCUAAUACCCGAAUGUGAUCGCUUUCUCGCAUGAGGGAGUGAUGAAAGAUGGCCUCUAUUUAUAAGCUCCGGCGGUAUGAGAUGGACCCGCGUCUGAUUAGCUAGUUGGUAAGGUAACGGCUUACCAAGGCGACGAUCAGUAGCCGACCUGAGAGGGUGAUCGGCCACAUUGGAACUGAGACACGGUCCAAACUCCUACGGGAGGCAGCAGUGGGGAAUAUUGCACAAUGGGCGAAAGCCUGAUGCAGCAACGCCGCGUGAGCGAUGAAGGCCUUCGGGUCGUAAAGCUCUGUCCUCAAGGAAGAUAAUGACGGUACUUGAGGAGGAAGCCCCGGCUAACUACGUG
RNAcentral lists this ribosomal RNA (470 nucleotides) under uncultured bacterium. Its description in RNAcentral is "bacterial SSU rRNA". It matches the Rfam family "Bacterial small subunit ribosomal RNA", at positions 33 to 507 of the family's 1533-position model. The record is from RNAcentral.